Molecule: long non-coding RNA, 4234 nt
Filed under: Homo sapiens (human)
Lineage: Eukaryota; Metazoa; Chordata; Mammalia; Primates; Hominidae
Description: HSALNT0385833
Source: RNAcentral
GGCGCCGAGUGUCUCCGUGUCCCUCUGCCCCAGCCGGCGGCCGCGAUGGUGGAGCUUGGCCUCUCGCUCUCUCCCGCCUCUCCAGCGACUGCUCUGCCGGCCGCGGAGGUCGGAUCGAGCGGUCAUUCAUUCAUUUGUUAAUUCGUUCACUUAUUCAGGGGAGAUCAUUGAACCCCUACGGAGUACCGGGUACUGGGCCGGGCGCUGAGGACGCGGGGCUGAGCAAAAGCAGCCGAGGCCCACCUUCGUGCCCCUUAAAACCCAGCGUGCGGGGCGGCAACGAGUACUGCUUUUCUGUUUUGCACUUAAAAUUUACAUUUUGCAUCCGUACUUUUUAUUUACUGUGCACCCUUACGGCAUGCUUUACGCACCCGUACCUGCACCUCCUAGCCUUGAGUGUAGACACCAGAUCCUGAGAUGGGCGAUUUUUCGAGAAUAAUUUUUACCCUAAGUGGAUUUUCGUGCCACGCAUGGACUUGGAACUACACACACGUAGUCCAAAACGUGAAAGUCAAAAUGCAGCUUUGCCAAGUGGCAGGGAGAAAGGAGAGCUGAGAAGAUGAGGAGAGGAAGGGCGCGCUCCAGGCUUUCCAGCCCGGGUGCGGUAGACGUAGCCCUGAAGGAUGAACCCAGGCUGGUAGUAGGGCGGCGGGAGGGCGGGGGGACCUGUCAGUCAAGUCCAAAGCAGAAACGCGGCGCCGGAUCCCAGUCAGAGGCCGGCUGGAACGCUUCCCACAGGCUCCUGGCGCUCCGGUCCCCACCAGGCGACCUUGAUCCUGGCGUGCUCAGCGGAGCCAGCGCAGCGUCGGGAGCUGGAGAGACGCGGGGCGCCGGCUGAGCGCUCCUGCCCUCUGCCUCUGGGCUAGCCUCUGGCCCGGCCUCCCGGCCUCCCCCAGGGUACGCUCUCCCCCAAGAGCGAACACCAGCUUUGGGAUCGCCAGCAGCCACGUCUCUGCUUCUAGAUCUCUUUUUUUUUUCUUUGAGACUUAGUUGAUAGCUGUUUAAGGAAUUAUGUGGAGGAAAUCUCACCUCCGACCCCCGCCCCCGUUGAGCACGGCCGGCCAGGGUCGCUGGGUGGGCCAGGAGGAAAGAAAGGGGCGGGGAAGAAGCAGCAAUUUUACUUUAAAUUAAAAUGACACAAAAAUAUUUUUUCAACUCAGAUCUUUCUGAGACAUCCCCAGAAAGCGUUGCAAGCUGUGAUUACACCUAAUGUGAGAGCAUGAACUAAUUUAAGAGGUGAGAGCUGCAUAAUGAGGCUGCCUCCCGUGUAGCAGCCAAGACUGGCAGCUCUGGCGGCGCGCUGGAGGGGACCGGGAGGGGCACCCUUGUAGAACCAGUCCCUGGCGCCCUGGGAUCUUCUCAGUGCCCUGGCGCUGUGUUGUCGGUCACUCCACAGAUAUUACAGGGUGCCUCCUGAAUGCCGGGUUGCAAUCAAGAGCAAGAGAUGGGGCGAGUGAAAGAGCCUGUUUUCAGGAGCUCAGCAUCAGGAUGACGAUUACCUAGAGGGAGGUGGUGGCCAGCCUCCCCCUCUUCUCUUCAUGCUGAGGCUCUGGUGGGCAGUGCCCAAGCCUGAACUGCCAUCUGUAUGCCAGUGGUUACCCAACUUGUAUUUUCAGUCUUAGCCUCUCUCUGGUCCAGACUUGUCAUUCUAAGGGCCCUUUUUCACUGACUCACAUUGUCUCCUCCCUCCCUGCCUUCCAAACUCAGCCUUUUCCUUUUUCCCUUUCCCACUGACAACAGCUGCACGACCCCCCCGCCCCCCCACGAGGUGAAAAUUCCCAAGAACCCCAUGUCUAACCUAACUCCCUCUCUAUGUCCUGUUGCUUGAGCCAUUCUCAUUAGGCUGCCUGUUCGGAGUUCAUUAUCUCCUAAUUUUUCAUCCAGGAAUUGAUGAAGAAUCACCUACUGCCUCUCCCACACACUGUUUAUUCUUUCAUUUGAUGAUAUCUGUUAAGUGCCCUGAGAUAUGUAACCUCCACUUCCCUCCCAUAUAAGUGAGAUUUCACGUUGAUUACUUCCUUGGCUUUCCUCAUCCCUUAUCCACAUAGCAUGUGUUCAAAAUAAUGAAUAUUAAUUUAAUGUUAAUAGAUAUGUGCUUUCCUGAAUUGUGAGGAUUAAAUGAAAUCAUGUAUAUAGGGAGGAAAAUCCAUUAGAAACCUCAAAAGCAGUUAUGUUUAUUUUUGCUAUUGUCACAUUGUUAGAGUCAGAAUUCUUUUAGCUGCAAGUGACAAAACCAACUCAAACUGGCUUAAGGACUUUAUUGGUUGAUGCAAAAAGCCUCGGGUUAGGUCUUGCCAUUUAAGGUAGGGCUGGAUCCAUCAAUCCGGGUUACCAGGAUCUGUUUUCUAGUUGUGGCUUCAUUUUCAGACAAGUUGUUUCCAUAUGAUAGCCUCAUAGAAGGUACUACCAGCUUAGUCCUAGCAAGAAAAAAGAGUACUUACUCUUCAAUAUUUGCAGCAGAAGUCCCAGGUCUGUUCUUAUGAGGGCAGUUUGAGUCACUUGCUCUUCUCUGAACGUGGAGAAGGCACUGUUUAGAUGAUGGAGGUUGGAUUCAGGUGCAUCCCCUGGAAUGGGGUUUGGCAUUAGCUUCACGUGGUCUAGAAUAAAGGGGUUCUCCAAAGGAAAAUUAGGGUAGGAAUGCUGAGUAAGCAGAACAAACAGAUGUCUACUUUAGUCCUUCCCAAAGGGUGAGCUGCAAUACAUUGCAGACUAUCAGAAUGGUGAUGAACACGGAUGCAGUAGCCAAGAAAAUAGAUGUGUGUUUGUCGUGGUCUUUUUCAGUCUUCAAGAUCUCAGUUAAACAUGAAGUCAACCACUCACUAUGAUGUUAUUUGAGGUUUAGCUUUGAAGUGGAAAUGUACCACAAAUAGUAGAGCCAGAUAAAUACAAAUAAAUAAUUUUAACAGUCCAUUCUAAAAGAUUUCUUUGGUAAUAUUCUGUUGGAAUUGAUUUCUAUCUUUUCAUUUGUUAGGUUCCUGGAAAGUGAAAAUUUCAUUUCUUUGUGGACAGGUACCUAAAAUGUCUCAUUAUUCAUCAAUUAAUGAAAAACAAAUGAAAAUUUGAGAGAGAUAUUCUGAAGAAUAAAAGGAUCAAGUUGGGUCAUUUCUAAAAUCUCAGAGACCUAAUAGGAUGGGGUCUUAGAGAAACAUCUUUUGAGCCACAGACUUCUUUGUUACCAGAAGGAAAAUGAAAGAAGAAAUUUAAAUACCACUUGAAGAGAGCUGAUCGCCACCAACUGGCCUCUGGGUGGAUUUGGCCAAUGGAAGCACCUGUAGAGGGAAGAGAGUGAGGUUAGGAUAUUUCUUCCUGCUGUCUCCGUGCUUCCCUGCAGAGAGUGUGAAGAAAUGACCCUGAAAAGCCUCUGGCAGAGGAUUCUUCUUUCAGGAUGGUGUCGCCUCCUCAGCAGCCCAUCCUCCUCCCCUGGACUCAAGCUCUCAUUCCAGUAACACUCCUUCCUCCUUCUCCAUCUUCAGGGGGAGGUUUGCCAGUCGGUGCUGCCCAGUUCAUGAGUGCUGCUGCUGUCCUGCCCAAGUACCCAGCUUGCAGAGUGCCAGAGUUAGAGUCCCAGGGGUGUUCUCCACAGCUGCAUGCUUGAUCCAGGCCUAUCAGAUAUAUUCCAUUGAAAGUCCUCAUUCUCAAAUUUAAAACAAAGACUUUUUGUGUACCUCAAUAGCAAUGCACACACAGUUGGCUUCACAAACAUAUUGUACAUUUCUUUUUUUCAUAUUUAUUCAACAAAUGUAUAUUGACUACCCACCGUGUGACAGGUGUUAUUUGUUGACGGAACCAGGCAUCAUCAGCAAACAAAACUGACAAAGCUUCCUGCCCUCUGUGGAAGGCAUCUGAGGAAGAGACUGGAUUUUGUAGCAACAUGUUAUUCUCAUUAUAAACUUUAUCAUUGGAAUACUAAAGCCAAAUCAUCCCCCAUCUCCUUGAUCAGGAUACCCACUUAAUCUAGGCAGCUACACAAUUGUGAGAGCCUUUGUUUUUUUCUGCUGAAACAUCCUUAAAAAGAUACCUCACAACCCAAGAUUUGGCUUUUCUUAAAUACGAUUUUUAAUUUUUUUCAUUUCUAUCUAGAGAUUUAAUUGGAAAUGGAAAAUCAUCAAUUUUCCAAUUAAAUGUCUGUUCCAAUCAACAUUAUACCUUUUAGGUUGUCAUUGUCAUUUUUAAGUUUAAGCAACUUUAAGGAUUUUGAAUCUGGCUGCCUGUAAAUUAAAGGUGAAAGUAAUCA